Molecule: ribosomal RNA, 482 nt
Filed under: uncultured bacterium
Lineage: Bacteria
Description: partial 16S ribosomal RNA
Rfam family: Bacterial small subunit ribosomal RNA
Source: RNAcentral
GACGAACGCUGGCGGCGUGCAUAACACAUGCAAGUCGAACGCUGAAGCUCAGCUUGCUGGGUGGAUGAGUGGCGAACGGGUGAGUAACACGUGAGUAACCUGCCCUCUUCUUUGGGAUAACGCCCGGAAACGGGUGCUAAUACUGGAUAUUCACUGAUUCUCGCAUGGGGGUUGGUGGAAAGGUUUUUUCUGGUGGGGGAUGGGCUCGCGGCCUAUCAGCUUGUUGGUGGGGUGAUGGCCUACCAAGGCUUUGACGGGUAGCCGGCCUGAGAGGGUGACCGGUCACAUUGGGACUGAGAUACGGCCCAGACUCCUACGGGAGGCAGCAGUGGGGAAUAGUGCACAAUGGGCGAAAGCCUGAUGCAGCGACGCCGCGUGAGGGAUGGAGGCCUUCGGGUUGUAAACCUCUUUCGCUCAUGGUCAAGCCGCAGCUUUGGGUUGUGGUGAGGGUAGUGGGUAAAGAAGCGCCGGCUAACUACGUG